GACAGAGGAGGCGAGCGUUAUCCGGAGUUAUUGGGCGUAAAGGGUACGUAGGCGGCUGGUCAAGUCUGGGGUUAAAGACCACAGCUUAACUGUGGGGGGCCUUGGAAACUGACCGGCUGGGGUGGGGCAGGGGUUGCGGGAAUUCCCGGUGUAGCGGUGAAAUGCGUAGAUAUCGGGAAGAACACCUGAGGCGAAAGCGCGCAACGGGGCCCUAACUGACGCUGAGGUACGAAAGCUAGGGGAGCGAAUGGG
Molecule: ribosomal RNA, 252 nt
Filed under: uncultured bacterium
Lineage: Bacteria
Description: partial 16S ribosomal RNA
Rfam family: Bacterial small subunit ribosomal RNA
Source: RNAcentral